Molecule: ribosomal RNA, 253 nt
Filed under: uncultured bacterium
Lineage: Bacteria
Description: partial 16S ribosomal RNA
Rfam family: Bacterial small subunit ribosomal RNA
Source: RNAcentral
UACGAGGGGUGCAAGCGUUAUUCGGAAUUACUGGGCGUAAAGCGCGCGUAGGCGGACUGUUAAGUCGGUUGUGAAAGCCCUGGGCUCAACCUAGGAACUGCAUCCGAUACUGGCAAUCUAGAGUUUAAGAGAGGCAAGGGGAAUUCCAGGUGUAGCAGUGAAAUGCGUAGAUAUCUGGAGGAACAUCAGUGGCGAAGGCGCCUUGCUGGCUUAAAACUGACGCUGAGGUGCGAAAGCGUGGGUAGCAAACAGG